GCUCAGAUUGAACGCUGGCGGCAGGCCUAACACAUGCAAGUCGAGCGGCAGCACGGGUACUUGUACCUGGUGGCGAGCGGCGGACGGGUGAGUAAUGCCUAGGAAUCUGCCUGGUAGUGGGGGAUAACGUUCGGAAACGAACGCUAAUACCGCAUACGUCCUACGGGAGAAAGCAGGGGACCUUCGGGCCUUGCGCUAUCAGAUGAGCCUAGGUCGGAUUAGCUAGUUGGUGAGGUAAUGGCUCACCAAGGCGACGAUCCGUAACUGGUCUGAGAGGAUGAUCAGUCACACUGGAACUGAGACACGGUCCAGACUCCUACGGGAGGCAGCAGUGGGGAAUAUUGGACAAUGGGCGAAAGCCUGAUCCAGCCAUGCCGCGUGUGUGAAGAAGGUCUUCGGAUUGUAAAGCACUUUAAGUUGGGAGGAAGGGCAGUUACCUAAUACGUAAUUGUUUUGACGUUACCGACAGAAUAAGCACCGGCUAACUCUGUGCCAGCAGCCGCGGUAAUACAGAGGGUGCAAGCGUUAAUCGGAAUUACUGGGCGUAAAGCGCGCGUAGGUGGUUCGUUAAGUUGGAUGUGAAAUCCCCGGGCUCAACCUGGGAACUGCAUUCAAAACUGUCGAGCUAGAGUAUGGUAGAGGGUGGUGGAAUUUCCUGUGUAGCGGUGAAAUGCGUAGAUAUAGGAAGGAACACCAGUGGCGAAGGCGACCACCUGGACUGAUACUGACACUGAGGUGC
Molecule: ribosomal RNA, 739 nt
Filed under: Pseudomonas sp. 120221_PC_C1_B4
Lineage: Bacteria; Pseudomonadati; Pseudomonadota; Gammaproteobacteria; Pseudomonadales; Pseudomonadaceae
Also listed under: 1 other name
Description: bacterial SSU rRNA
Rfam family: Bacterial small subunit ribosomal RNA
Source: RNAcentral